UACGUAGGUGGCAAGCGUUAUCCGGAUUUACUGGGUGUAAAGGGAGCGUAGACGGCGAUGCAAGUCUGAAGUGAAAGGCGGGGGCCCAACCCCCGGACUGCUUUGGAAACUGUAUAGCUGGAGUGCAGGAGAGGUAAGUGGAAUUCCUAGUGUAGCGGUGAAAUGCGUAGAUAUUAGGAGGAACACCAGUGGCGAAGGCGGCUUACUGGACUGUAACUGACGUUGAGGCUCGAAAGCGUGGGGAGCAAACAGG
This 253-nucleotide ribosomal RNA is filed under the name uncultured bacterium. Its description in RNAcentral is "partial 16S ribosomal RNA". It matches the Rfam family "Bacterial small subunit ribosomal RNA", at positions 524 to 776 of the family's 1533-position model. The record is from RNAcentral.